AUUUCGGGUUCCCUUGUUUCAGGUGAGUCUAAAUUAUUGGCAUCUUCUCCCGAAUCAGCAACUGCAUUGAUGCCCAAAGGAAUAAGGCUCAUCGUAGUUGUAGCACAACCCGUUGGAUUGACGUUCCUCCAUUUUAGCUCGAUUAAGUCGUUUCACAAAAGGGGUGGAGACACCCCCCACGCUACUGGUCAUUAUCAUGAUGGAUCCCCAUGUACUUUCCCCCGGAGGCUCCAACUGUUGCUACUUUUCAAAGGCUCGAGCUAGAUUCGUAGCCAUUUACAAAUUGGGUGGAUUCUGCAAUUUCACGUGCCUGUUUAGCAUUGAGGUUUCUAGACUAAAACUGCUUUUCAGAAAAAA
RNAcentral lists this unclassified non-coding RNA (357 nucleotides) under Hevea brasiliensis (rubber tree). The record is from RNAcentral. Lineage: Eukaryota; Viridiplantae; Streptophyta; Magnoliopsida; Malpighiales; Euphorbiaceae.